This is a long non-coding RNA of Gambusia affinis (western mosquitofish), 1409 nucleotides long. RefSeq lists it as uncharacterized. NCBI's taxonomy places the organism in Eukaryota, Metazoa, Chordata, Actinopteri, Cyprinodontiformes, Poeciliidae. The record is from RefSeq and is a predicted model, not a curated record. The transcript is spliced from 3 exons.
AACGAUCCCAGUUCACCUUCUGUCAGGAUGACCUCUGACCCCUGAGACUGGGUGGUGUCUGGCUGAACCUUCAGUCGAUGUGAACUGCUGAAGAAGAGACGCUGCGAUCCUCUCAGCCGUUUUCAGGAAGUCUGUGGCUUUUCAUCGUCAACCACAGUUUUCUGUCAGAACACAGAAAACCACAGAAGAAGAAGAUUUCCCCCAACAGACGUGCAGACGGGGCGUGUGUCGAGUUCUGCCGACCAACUUCCUGUUUCCUCUGUUGAACCGGCAGACUCAGCCUGGCGCUGAUGAAGAGGAGGAGGAUGAAGAUGAUCCUCGCUCUGCUUCUGAAGAGUCUGAAGUUUCAUCUGUAGAAUUUAUCAUCGGGACGUUUUCAGUCACAAGAUGGCCGCCAGGACGGGGUUCACUGGAGAGACACCAGGGGUCAGUAUCUGACCUGAGAGAGGAAGAGCCAUCCAUCCAUCCAGAGGUCAGAGGUCAAGCCUCCCGGAGUAUGAACGCAUCAGUUCAUCAGCAGGUCUGGUGGGAACAGCGACAUGUAGCCCUCUGACCUGUAGGGGGCAGCAGGGAGCCGGGUGGUGGAGCUCCAGUCUAACUGGGACAGACUGGUCUGUUUCCAUUAAAUGUUUAUUAAAGUUAUGAAACGAUUUAAAAACCUGAUGGUUCACAGCAGAGAUGGGAGACUGGCUUCAAACAGAGCAGCGCUGCUUCAGCAAAUCACUGAAGUGUUUAAUAAUUCGUCUGAUCGGAGCCGAUCCGCCCAGACUUCCCAGUUCCUCUGAAGGUUUCUGAGAGUUCAGACUGGGAGCACGCUGGUCUCCAUGGCGAUGGGAAAAUCAGACCGAGCACUCGUUUGUUUCUUAUGAGGCGUAAAGCUUCCUGCAUGGGGAACAGAGUGAGACUUCCUGUGAGGCACCAACAGCGUUUCUCCAGAAAUUCUGCAGCUGCAGGGAAAACACUGCAGGUAAAGAGGAAACGCUCAGGAAAAACGACAGAAAAACGACAGAAAAACGACAGAAACAUCAAAGGAAUGAUAGAAAAAUACAACAAAUAUCAGAAAGCAGCAGGAAAACUAAAGAAAAACGACCACAACGAGAUGGAGAUGCGCGUCCAGACCGACCGCCAGGGGGCGCAUGUGCUGCUGAUUAUUCAUCUGGACGAACUUCCAACCAAACCUACAGAAAACAAACCUCGUUAGUUCUGAUGAUCCUCAGAAAAACUGACAAUCGAUUAUUGAUUGAUUAAUUGAUUAUAAACUUCCACAUGAAGAACUUUUAAAUGAUCAGAACAACAGAACCAGGUUCCUUCCUGGCAUAUUAAUCUACAUAACCUGCUGCCCCCUACAGGCCGGGGGGUUACGUGUCGCUUCCUUUGAAAAUAUUAUACUAUAAAUUUUUUCAACAAUU